Molecule: ribosomal RNA, 778 nt
Filed under: uncultured bacterium
Lineage: Bacteria
Description: bacterial SSU rRNA
Rfam family: Bacterial small subunit ribosomal RNA
Source: RNAcentral
UGCAGUCGAGCGCGCCUUCGGGUGAGCGGCGGACGGGUGAGUAACGCGUGGGAAUAUGCCCGGUACUAGGGAAUAGCCUCGGGAAACUGAGAGUAAUACCUUAUACGCCCUUCGGGGGAAAGAUUUAUCGGUAUCGGAUUAGCCCGCGUUGGAUUAGGUAGUUGGUGGGGUAACGGCCCACCAAGCCGACGAUCCAUAGCUGGUUUGAGAGGAUGAUCAGCCACACUGGGACUGAGACACGGCCCACACUCCUACGGGAGGCAGCAGUGGGGAAUCUUGGACAAUGGGGGCAACCCUGAUCCAGCCAUGCCGCGUGAGUGACGAAAGCCCUAGGGUCGUAAAGCUCUUUCAGCUGUGAAGAUAAUGACGGUAGCAGCAGAAGAAACCCCGGCUAACUCCGUGCCAGCAGCCGCGGUAAUACGGAGGGGGUUAGCGUUGUUCGGAAUUACUGGGCGUAAAGCGCGCGUAGGCGGACUGUUAAGUCAGAGGUGAAAUCCCGGGGCUCAACCCCGGAACUGCCUUUGAUACUGGCAGUCUCGAGUUCUGGAGAGGUGAGUGGAAUUCCGAGUGUAGAGGUGAAAUUCGUAGAUAUUCGGAGGAACACCAGUGGCGAAGGCGGCUCACUGGCCAGACACUGACGCUGAGGCGCGAAAGCGUGGGGAGCAAACAGAGAUUAGAUACCCUGGUAGUCCACGCCGUAAACGAUGAAUGCCAGACGUCGGGCAGCAUGCUGUUCGGUGUCACACCUAACGGAUUAAGCAUUCCGCCUGGGGAGUAC